GACGAACGCUGGCGGCGUGCUUAACACAUGCAAGUCGAACGGUGAAGCGCCUUCCUUUUUGGUGGGUGUGGAUGAGUGGCGAACGGGUGAGUAACACGUGAGUAACCUGCCCCCUUCUUCUGGAUAACCGCAUGAAAGUGUGGCUAAUACGGGAUAUUCUGGGUCUGUCGCAUGAUGGGUCUGGGAAAGAUAUUGUUUCGGUGGGGGAUGGGCUCGCGGCCUAUCAGCUUGUUGGUGGGGUGAUGGCCUACCAAGGCGGUGACGGGUAGCCGGCCUGAGAGGGUGGACGGUCACACUGGGACUGAGACACGGCCCAGACUCCUACGGGAGGCAGCAGUGGGGAAUAUUGCACAAUGGGCGCAAGCCUGAUGCAGCGACGCCGCGUGAGGGAUGGAGGCCUUCGGGUUGUGAACCUCUUUCGCCAGUGAAGCAGGCCUGCCUCGUUUGUGGGUGGGUUGACGGUAGCUGGAUAAGAAGCGCCGGCUAACUGCGUG
Molecule: ribosomal RNA, 494 nt
Filed under: uncultured bacterium
Lineage: Bacteria
Description: partial 16S ribosomal RNA
Rfam family: Bacterial small subunit ribosomal RNA
Source: RNAcentral